Long non-coding RNA from Lynx canadensis (Canada lynx), 2822 nucleotides. RefSeq lists it as uncharacterized. Lineage: Eukaryota; Metazoa; Chordata; Mammalia; Carnivora; Felidae. The record is from RefSeq and is a predicted model, not a curated record. The transcript is spliced from 5 exons.
UGGCUGGCCCCGUGGAGUCCAUGCUGCCUCGCAUGAUCGGUGCAUCUCCUGAAUCAUUGAACGCCCUGCGGUCUCGGGGGCAGGAGCAGGGUGAGAGAGGUGGUGGAGCUGAGGAUCUGCGGAAGAGGAACUUAGCCUGCAUUAUCCAGGCGGACCCUGAGCACAACCACGUGUGUCCUUGUAAGAGAGGAUGAUGGAGAUGCACAGCCACACGCAGAAGGCAGCGGGGGGGGGGGGGGGGGGGGGGUUGAAGGUGGAGCAGAGACACGUGGCCACGAGCCACGGAAUGCCCAGAGACACCAGGAGCUGGAAAAAGUGAGGAAUGGAUUCUCCCUCGGCCUUCCAGAGGGAUCGUGGCUCUGCCAGUACCUUGAUUUGGGGCUUCUGGCCUCCAGAACUACAAGAGAGUACGUUUCUCUCGCUUUAAGCCACCAAGUUUGUGAUCGAGUGUCACAACAGCAUCAAGAAAUGAAUAGAGCUUCAUACAAAAAGAUCUGCCUGUGCCCGGCGUUUCAUGUGAAUGGAAGCCUACCGCAUGUGGUCGGCGGUGACUGGCUUCGUUCACUUAACAACGUUUUCAAGGUUUGUCCACGUUGUAGCAUGUACCAGUACCUCGUACUUUUUUAUUGGCAAAUAAUGAUCGUAUGAGUCUACUGCAUUUUAUCCAGCAACUGAAGGACAUUUGGCUUGCUUUUACUUUGGGUCAUUAUGAACGAUGCUGCUACGAACAUUUGCGUACAAGUUUUUGCGUGAACGUUAAGUUUUCCUUCUGUUGGGUGGGUGUGUACCUAAGGAGGGCAACUGCUGAGUCACAGAGUAACUCUAAUUAACCUUUUUGAUUAAGAACGGCCAGACUGUUUCCCCAAGUGGCCAGACCGUUUUACAUCCCCACCAGCAACGCACAAGACUUUCAUCACCUCCAACUUUUUGGUUCUAGCCGUCCUAGUGGGGGGUGAAGCUGAUUUGCAUUUUCCUGAUGACCCGUGACCUUAAGCAUCUUUUCUUGUGCUCACUGGCCACGGCUACCUGUUUUUGUAAAUACAGGUGACUGGAACACAGCCACAUCUCCUUGUUUAUACGUUGUUGAUGGCUGCUCUUAUACUCUAGUGGCAGGGUUGAGUAGCUGUUUUGUGUGUGGCUCCUGAAGAAAAGACGGUCAGGUUCUUGACUUUGGGGUAGACAGGGCAGUCAUUUGAACCCGGGAAGGAAGGAAUCCCUGAUGGAUAGUUUGCCUGUCCGGUGCUCUUCCCAGGUAGAGACGAGCACAGAGAAGCUGAAGUGACAGCAGGGCCAGUGGAAUAAAAAGCCGGAGCCUAAGUAAUUCCGACGGUACUUGCCGACGGCCACUGUAGGGAUGGAAUGCCAGGAUCCAACAGGAAACAAGCUUUCGUUUGGAAGGGUUGGUGUCUCGGGAUGGCAUGUCUUACUACCGGAAAACAGGGCCGUGACGCUUCCUGUACAGAUUUUGCCAGCCGAGGCUGUGAUCGGAGGCUAGCUCCCCUCCCCGCCCCCACGAGCACGUCUCCACCUGACUUGGGCACUGUUCACAGGGGGCAAAUCUACAUUUUGUCGCAAGCAAUGCCUAUUAUUCCCAGUGACUUGGAGGCCCUUCUUCCCCGAAGGGGAAGGAAAUGCAUUUAAACACAAGGGAAAACUGCAAGUAACAGGAAGGCUGGCAGAUAUCUCCACCAUCUGGCUCUUCCUCGGGCAAGUUCACCUACUGACGGAGUUUCUCAGUCUGAAACCCUGUCACCAUCUGCAAGGCCCGAUUUCUAGAUGAGCGCUUCAUUGGUCGAAGGCUGAGCAACCCCCUGAAAGGGCUCAAACAACUUUGACAGCUUCCCUCCUUCAUCUCUGACGCAAUCAGCUACUGCGAAUGUGUUCGGUCUGACCUAGUUUUCUUGUCUUUAAAAAGAAAUGGGUGAUUCAUUUGUUGCAGCCUGUUGGGCUGGUCACGGAGAGGGAGCAGUGCCACCGACAUGUAACCCAUUACCACAAAUCGGGGCUGGUCACUGGACUUCUCGGCCUGUCACAGAUGGCUGUCAGUCUUUUCAGACUGGCCCAACCCUUAGCUAUGCCUCCCCUGGUCACCUGCCCAGUGUGGCUGAACUGAGGUCAAAGCUCUGGGGUUGUGCCUACUGCAGAUGAAGACACUAGAAGGCCCAUAGGAUAGUCUUAAACAUCCUAAACAUAGUCCUAACUGCAUGGAAACAAGGACGCAGUGUUAAAAUACCUGGGUCACAGACUCUAUUCUGCCACUUUCUAGGCACACAGUUUUGGCACGCUAUCUUCCAUGGAGCCUUAAGGGCCCCAUUUGUGUAACAGUAAUAAUAAUAUCUACCGUAUAGUAUUGUUUUGAGCAUUAAAGGAAUUGAUGCUUUGUACAAAGAGCCCAGCACAGUGCCAGACCACGCACAGCAUCAGUGCUGAAUGUGUAUGAUACACACGUAACCAUUAGUAGCGAUGUUUGAUUCAUAUAUGACUGUUGGCAUUGAUGUGGGAUACACACAGAGCCACUGGUAAUGACGUGUUGACACACGUAUAAUCGUUAGUACUGAAGAGCUGACCCCCGCCCAGCACCCAGUGGAGACACUGAAUCCAUACAUUUUCCCUUGUCCCUUCUCCAAUUUUCCUCUACAGUAAUGAAUGGUAUGUUAGUGUAUCCAAUAAGAAAAACAAAUUAUUUUAUCUAAGGUCUCAUGAAAAAAAAAAAAAAAAGUCUUUGGGGGGGAAAAAAGAUGUAAGAUUAUUCUAAAUAAGAGUCAAGAGGGGCACCUGGGUGGCUCAGUCGGUUAAGUGUCCGACUUCAGCUCAGGUCAUGA